This 2560-nucleotide long non-coding RNA is filed under the name Homo sapiens (human). Its description in RNAcentral is "HSALNT0384416". The record is from RNAcentral. Lineage: Eukaryota; Metazoa; Chordata; Mammalia; Primates; Hominidae.
UUGGCUCAAUUUGGAGAGGUCGUUCUCCAGUGGGGAAGAAGGAAUAACAAAAGGAGCAUUUUUGGAGCAUUUAUUAACAGUAUAGGCUAGGCUUUUUUUCUAUGUAUUUUAUAUGUGUCUAUUCAUUUAAUGCCCUUGAUAAUCCACUGAAAGAGGUGUCAUUAUUAUCAUCCCAUUUUACAGAAGAAGAAACUGAAACAAGAAGACAUUGUCCUAGGUACUGUGCAUACAGCAGCAGACCAAACAAAGCCACUUCCCUCUCUUGCUUCAUGGCGCUUACUUUGCAGUGUGGAAGAUGAGCAUCUCAGCAUCUCAGAGGUGAAGAAACUGGCCUAGCCACCACGUGGUGGCACUUGCAGCCUGAGUCAGCAGAUCCCCAGGCAAAUGAAGACUCUGAGAUGAAGACAGCUGAGCGCAUGAUGGGGUAGGUCAGCCUCCCUCAUGGAAAUUCUGUGUGCCUGAGGCCCACCCUUCCAGUGCAGAUGGAGGGAUGGGAUGGAAAUGAAUCUAGGGGAACGCAUCCCAGCUGUGAUCCAGCCACCUCUGCGUUUGAAGGCUGGGGGUUAUUCCCUCCUCAUGGUUGCCACGCAUUCUUAUGUUUGCAUGUCAUGCUUGGAACUGCCGCAGCCACUUUGUGACAGCCUGAGAAUGAAUCCAGCGCUAAAAUCAGUCUAGCAAAAGGAGGAGAAACACCUGGGUCUCCAUGAUGUCACUGAGCAAGUGAAUUGACCAGCUGUGAGAUGAUCCAGAACUGAGAUCCAGAGCCACAAAGGGCUUGUGCCAGACCUAAGUGAGAUGCAGAGUCGGCCUUAAACCCAAUUCUCAUGAUCAGUGGUGAUUGUGGUGAUGAUGAUGAUGAUGGUGAUUCUGGGGAUGAUGAUGAUAAUGGAUUUUUCUUCACAGUGUCUAGCAGUAUUCCUGGCACAUAAUAUGCAUGGACCUAUGCUGGAACUAAAUGAUUUAAUAUCCAUAAAGGGUCCUAUGAGGCAAGCUCCAGAGACACAGAGGAAGGCCAUACAGCAAUAGCAUGAAACACAGCUUUGAGGUCCUGGGGCCAGGGAAGGGCACAAGGUGUGGCUGAGGGGAUGCUCAUGUGUGCUUCCCUGCUCUUUCCUCAGGAAGGUUUCCCUGUUUGGAGCAGCCGCCACAUGCCAUGGCUUCUUUCUCUGCCUUUUGCUUUGAUUAAUUGCACCUUUCAUGAUUCAUAUCGCAUAAUUGCCUUCCAAAUGGGUUAUUCCUGGGUGGUAACCUUAUGGGGGUAGGUUUGUGGGUCUCUGGAGCAUCUUAAGUAUGAUGUUGCAGUCAUAACUAAAUGAGGCAUGAUCUCUUGAUGGCACAAGACAUGCAGGGAGGGUAUACCUUGUCUCUAAAUCAGCGCUAUUCCGUAGAACUUUCUCUGCUGAAGGAAAUAUGCUGUAUCUGCACCAUCCAAUAUGGAAGCCACUAGCCACAUGUUGCUAUUGAACACUUCAAAUGUGGCUAGUGCAACUUGUAACUGAGUUCUUAAUUUUAUUGAAUUCAAAUUAAUUCAACUGUAUGUGUAAGUAGCCACCUAGGAUAGUCUUGUGGCUACCAAAUUCGACAGUGCCGUCUCUAGAGUAAUCAAAAAUCUUAGGAUUCAGCAGGAUGAAGUUCGAAUGCCACUACAGUCACUCAGUGCCUGCAUGACCUUGGACGUGUCAGUUAAGCUCUCUGAGCUUCAGUGUUCUCUUCCAUAAAAUAGGUUUAGUAAUUUCUUUUCCUUGUAGUUGUUGUAACGAUUUCAUAGUAUACCAUGUGUUUACUGUCUAGAACAGUGUCAGGUGCAUAAAAUGGAAACCCAUUAAGUUGAAAGCUAUUAAUACUAUGUGUCCACUUGGAGAUCCAAACCACAUCUUACAGAUAGGAAACUUCAGUGGCAACAUUUCCUUCUUGUGAGGGGGGAAUAAAAGGGAAUCUAGGACCAAGUUACCUGAGAUUUAUGCAUCCAGCAUUACCCUCAUUCCUAUUGAUAUUAUGGAGAGAAGCUUACAGGAAAAUGUUCACCUACUUAGAAUAUAUGUUAUAGAGUGUGUUGAGGUCCAGGAAGCUGCUGUGGUUAGAAUGUACCUUAGGGACAUUCUGGGGGGUGGGUCACCAGUUCUGCUCUCAUAUUCUUGACCAGGCUUUGUGCCAGGUCAUGUAGCUCCCAGAAUGCAUCUUCUGGGUCUGGAGCUCCAUGGUAUUCUUCUACUUGGAAUAUUAUCCUGCACUCAAAACAGCACCCUUUUGUCUGCCUUACUAAUUUGCUCUCCUCUUGGACAUUCCUAUGGCAUCAUUCAGACAUUGUUCCUCUUGGAGUCUUCAGUUACCUCUUCUCUGUGCCCCUUGAACAAACCUUUGUUGCAGCACCAUUGGGAGGUCUGCAUGCCCAACUUCCUAUAAAAGGGUUAUAUCUUUCAAUCUCUAGAAAUUCUCAGAGCCUAGUACACAACCUGGUAUGUAACAGGAUCUAUAAAUGUUUAACAAGACAAUAAUAAUAACAACAAAGAUGAUAAUGUGGUGGUGAUGAUGGUGGUGAUGGCGGCAAUGAGGAUGAUGG